RNAcentral lists this unclassified non-coding RNA (283 nucleotides) under fungal sp. RNAcentral's name for it is "partial internal transcribed spacer region". The stretch from base 1 to 45 matches the Rfam family "Eukaryotic small subunit ribosomal RNA". Lineage: Eukaryota; Fungi. The record is from RNAcentral.
AAUUGUAACAAGGUUUCUGUAGGUGAACCUGCGGAAGGAUCAUCAUCAAUUUCAUCAUAUCCCUUCCCCUCCAGGUUGGGAUCCAUGAUAAACCCUUCUGUGCACCGUAUCCGUUCACUUUGGCAGGCUUUGGUGGGGUGAGCAACAACCCCCCAACCUCUCGUUCUCCCUCCUCCACACGAGGGAGAAGGGUUUACGCGUUUCUUCGAACUCGACUGAAAAUAUUUCCUUUGAGGAAUCAAAUAACUGAAAACAACUUUCAACAACGGAUCUCUUGGCUCUG